This 378-nucleotide ribosomal RNA is filed under the name uncultured bacterium. RNAcentral's name for it is "partial 16S ribosomal RNA". It matches the Rfam family "Bacterial small subunit ribosomal RNA", at positions 338 to 733 of the family's 1533-position model. The record is from RNAcentral.
CCUACGGGAGGCUGCAGUAGGGAAUAUUGCUCAAUGGGGGAAACCCUGAAGCAGCAACGCCGCGUGGAGGAUGAAUGUUUUCGGAUUUUAAACUCCUUUUUUUAUAGAAGUUAAUUACUGUAUCUAACGAAUAAUCACCGGCUAACUCCGUUCCAGCAGCCGCGAUAAUACGGAGGGUGCAAGCGUUACUCGGAAUCACUGGGCGUAAAGAGCGCGUAGGCGGGAUAGCAAGUCAGAUGUGAAAUCCUAUGGCUUAACCAUAGAACUGCAUUUGAAACUGUUAUUCUAGAGUAUGGGAGAGGUAGGUGGAAUUCGUGGUGUAGGGGUAAAAUCCGUAGAGAUCAAGAGGAAUACUCAUUGCGAAGGCGACCUGCUAGA